This is a long non-coding RNA of Sitophilus oryzae (rice weevil), 442 nucleotides long. RefSeq lists it as uncharacterized. NCBI's taxonomy places the organism in Eukaryota, Metazoa, Arthropoda, Insecta, Coleoptera, Curculionidae. The record is from RefSeq and is a predicted model, not a curated record. The transcript has 2 exons.
UUUUGCCAUUAUUCUGUUUUAACAAUUUCUCUCCCACAUUAUUCGAUUCAAAACAACGAUUUACGCUCGACACACGUUCAUUUGCAGCUCCAUUUAUUAUUUGUAACUUUAUGAGUAAUAAAUUGUAAAGUGACUUGUGGGAAAUAUACGGUGUUAAUGAUGGAUAGUUAUGUCUUUGGUGUCAAUAGUGUACUGUGGUGAUGAUUAGUGUCAUGUGUGAUAUCAUUUGAUUGGGGAGUUGUAGAAGUGCAAUGCCAAAAUCCAAACCGAUUGAACCGGUAUCCGUAGGCAGCGCAAGACUCGAUAGAAAAUCGAGGCUUUCCCUUCCCGAAAAGGAAUUUCGCCAUGAGAAAGACAUACAGAGGAGGAAUACCAUAUCGGAAUACACGAACAAAGGAAGGAAAAAAGUUAAAGCACCCCUCACACCGACGAUUAUUGAAGA